UUCUUUGACUUUCUGCAGCCUGGUGAUCAGAGCUGAACAUUUUCCUUUUCCCAUCAUUGGGCCUUGUUUUGUUUCUAAUGAUUUCCUUUACUUUACCAAACAGGUAUGGAUGGAUCUGAUUUUUUGGCAUUACAGACAUAACCUAGCAAUUGCAAAAAUAAUCUGGAUUAUUGCCUACAUGGAAAUAAGAUGCAGACAAAAGAAGAAGACAAAGUGAGUAUUAAGAUGAAAGAAAGUAGGACCUGUUCAUGGGAAGAGGCAGACGCAGUCUGGAUGCUUCAGAGGAUCACCUUGGGAGUUGAUAAUUCAUUCCCUGCCAUCAGUCAAUGCCUGAAACCACCUGCCUUUGGAGGAGAAUGCUAGGAUGAUGUCACCCAAAGGCCACAGGGAAAUACUGCAGCACAAGUGGGAAAUAGCAUUUCCCCUGUUUGAGUGCCUCUGCUAUUCAGUGAAAUAUGUUUCACAAUGGGAAUUUGUGCCCUUUCCAGUAGUGCUGCUGCACCCAAAGAAUAUGCAAGGCAAAAACCGCAGCAAGUCUUGAGUUGCACCGACACUGUUUGCAGCCGUGGAGUCAUUUGCUGAGCCAGGGACACAUUAAGUGGUGUUAGAGUCUUCCUUCUCCCCUCUCUGUGCUGCACAUGGCUGCUGUCCUGAUGUGAGGCUUUAAGGGGUAGCAGGCAGACUCUCCUCCCUGUUCUUUCAGGCUUUAGGUGUUCCUGAUGCUGCUGGUCCAGUUUCAUGCCAGAAGAACAGUUGCUGGGUUCAGGCACCAGCACAUUCUGUUCAUACUCCAUCUCUGCACUGCCAUGGCCAGCCAUCUGUAUCUGCAGUUGAACCCGAACCUUGUCUACACCUGCAGUUCAUUCAUUGGCAGCUACUGUUCCAUGAUAUCACUCAAGUGUGAGCCUUUGCAUGGGUAAGCUGUCUUUCCUUAUAAUUUCAGGUCAGGGUGAGCUUUUUUUAUCACUCCAUAGAAAUGAUGCCUCUUCUGUCCUGAGUGCUUUAUUGAGGUGGCCAUACCAAUAGCUUGGGAAAAUGGAGCUGAGCCAUGUACUGAUGGGCUCUUUGAGGGCUGCCUUCUGUCCCAUUCUGUUGCUGGGAAAAGUGCUGGUCAGUGGGACCACUCUGCAAGGUGCUCCUAAAGAAGAACAAAGAUAUCUGAGACAUCUUUCAAAGACAGCAGCAUCCCACAAAGACAGGAACAAGGCUGGUGCUUGCUGAGGAAUUCCUGAACAGCUUCAGCUUCAUUUCCCUUUUUUCUAAGCCCACAUCCUGUCUCUGCAAACUAAUAACAAAGUGCUGAAGUUGUCACAGCCAUCAUAGACACAGCCUAGAGCUGGCACACUCUUGACUAUUCUGUUUUGUGAACUUUUUUGUUCCAUGGGAGAUUUGAGACUUAAACACUCACUUGGUUUGUACCUCCUUAUUUGAGACUGACCAGUCUGAACCACUUUUGAUUGAUAAACUAUCAGUAGGAGUCUCAAACGUAGUUAAGUUCCUAUCAGUUUAAUUAAAAUAGAUUACUGGAUAGAGAAGCCCUGUGAAAUGCUCCCAUUGAGGAGAAAGCUACACCAUGAGUGCUCCCCUGAGUAAUCACCAGAGGCUGCUAUCAGCAAUAUAAUCAGCAAUGUCUGGUAUCACUGGGUACUGAAGAGCUCAACUUGAAACUCACACUUCAGCACAUGCCAAAGAACGGUUGAGACACGAGUGACUGAGGACUAAUCAUGUCCACCAUAUCGUAA
Pezoporus occidentalis (night parrot) is the source of this 1742-nucleotide long non-coding RNA. RefSeq lists it as uncharacterized. The transcript is spliced from 3 exons. Lineage: Eukaryota; Metazoa; Chordata; Aves; Psittaciformes; Psittacidae. The record is from RefSeq and is a predicted model, not a curated record.